GGAGGGAUGGCAGAGUGGUCGAUCGCGACGGUCUUGAAAACCGUUAGGUCCGCAAGGAUCUCCAGGGUUCGAAUCCCUGUCCCUCCGCCA
Molecule: transfer RNA, 90 nt
Filed under: Candidatus Peregrinibacteria bacterium
Lineage: Bacteria; Candidatus Peregrinibacteriota
Description: tRNA-Ser
Rfam family: tRNA
About the family: Transfer RNA (tRNA) molecules are approximately 80 nucleotides in length. Their secondary structure includes four short double-helical elements and three loops (D, anti-codon, and T loops).
Source: RNAcentral